ACUGUCGCUGUUGAUUUCUCACCUUCUGGAGAAACUUGAUGUCCUUAAUUGGGUGUCUUGCGGAUCCAGGACCUUUACCUUGAAAAAUUAGAGUGUUUAAAGCAGGCAUUUUUGCUCGAAUACAUUAGCAUGGAAUAAUAGAAUAGGACGGCAUGGUUCUAUUUUGUUGGUUUCUAGGAUCACCGUAAUG
RNAcentral lists this ribosomal RNA (190 nucleotides) under uncultured Glomeromycotina. RNAcentral describes it as "partial 18S ribosomal RNA". It matches the Rfam family "Eukaryotic small subunit ribosomal RNA", at positions 678 to 867 of the family's 1831-position model. The record is from RNAcentral. Lineage: Eukaryota; Fungi; Glomeromycota.